This 253-nucleotide ribosomal RNA is filed under the name uncultured bacterium. RNAcentral describes it as "partial 16S ribosomal RNA". It matches the Rfam family "Bacterial small subunit ribosomal RNA", at positions 524 to 776 of the family's 1533-position model. The record is from RNAcentral.
UACAGAGGGUGCGAGCGUUGUCCGGAAUCACUGGGCGUAAAGGGCGCGUAGGCGGCUUGAUAAGCGUGCGGUGAAAGCCCGGGGCUCAACCCCGGGUCGGCCGUGCGAACUGUCGAGCUGGAGCACUGUAGAGGCAGGUGGAAUUCCGGGUGUAGCGGUGAAAUGCGCAGAUAUCAGGAGGAACACCGGUGGCGAAGGCGGGACUCUGGGCCGAUACUGACGCUGAGGAGCGAAAGCGUGGGGAGCAAACAGG